This 497-nucleotide ribosomal RNA is filed under the name uncultured bacterium. Its description in RNAcentral is "partial 16S ribosomal RNA". It matches the Rfam family "Bacterial small subunit ribosomal RNA", at positions 28 to 507 of the family's 1533-position model. The record is from RNAcentral.
GAUGAACGCUGGCGGCGUGCCUAAUACAUGCAAGUCGAACGCAUAGCGAAAGGUGCUUGCACCUUUCAAGUGAGUGGCGAACGGGUGAGUAGCACGUGGACAACCUGCCUCAAGGCUGGGGAUAACAUUUGGAAACAGAUGCUAAUACCGAAUAAAACUUAGUGUCGCAUGACACAAAGUUAAAAGGCGCUUCGGCGUCACCUAGAGAUGGAUCCGCGGUGCAUUAGUUAGUUGGUGGGGUAAAGGCCUACCAAGACAAUGAUGCAUAGCCGAGUUGAGAGACUGAUCGGCCACAUUGGGACUGAGACACGGCCCAAACUCCUACGGGAGGCUGCAGUAGGGAAUCUUCCACAAUGGGCGAAAGCCUGAUGGAGCAACGCCGCGUGUGUGAUGAAGGCUUUCGGGUCGUAAAGCACUGUUGUAUGGGAAGAACAGCUAGAAUAGGAAAUGAUUUUAGUUUGACGGUACCAUACCAGAAAGGGACGGCUAAAUACGUG